Molecule: ribosomal RNA, 684 nt
Filed under: Saprolegnia sp. UNCW382
Lineage: Eukaryota; Oomycota; Saprolegniomycetes; Saprolegniales; Saprolegniaceae
Description: eukaryotic LSU rRNA
Rfam family: Eukaryotic large subunit ribosomal RNA
Source: RNAcentral
AAGCGGAGGAAAAGAAACUAACAAGGAUUCCCCCAGUAACGGCGAGUGAAGCGGGAAGAGCUCAAGCUUAAAAUCUCCAUGUUUUACAUGGCGAAUUGUAGUCUAUUGAGGCUGUUGUCAGCAUAGCGAUCUGGGACAAGUCCCUUGGAAAAGGGCAGCAUUGAGGGUGAUACUCCCGUCUCUGCUCAGAUUGUCUGUGUGUACGAUACGCUUUCUUUGAGUCGAGUUGUUUGGGAAUACAGCUCAAAGUAGGUGGUAAACACCAUCUAAAGCUAAAUAUUGGUGCGAGACCGAUAGCGAACAAGUACCGUGAGGGAAAGAUGAAAAGAACUUUGAAAAGAGAGUUAAAGAGUACCUGAAACUGUUGAAAGGGAACCGUAUCGUUUCCAGUGUUGUAUCCUGUGCAUAUUUCAUUAGCGGAGCAAUUUGCUGGUGCCCUGUGCAUGGGUGUGACGUCAGAGUCAGUUUGUAUGCUGCGGGAGAUGGUCAGUGAGGAGGUGCGUCACUUCGGUGAAAGUUAUAUCUCGCUGUCUAGUAGCCGUGGUUGAGACUGAGGUGCCUACAACAUGCCUUGGGGUUCAGUGUUGUCUCGUUUUGGUAACUGCUUGGAUAGCUUGCUAUGUCUGUGGUAUAUCGAGGCGAUUGAUGAUGUUGAUAACCUCUGCUGUUCGGGACUCUGGCGAA